UGGGGAAUUUUGGACAAUGGGGGAAACCCUGAUCCAGCCAUCCCGCGUGUGCGAUGAAGGCCUUCGGGUUGUAAAGCACUUUUGGCAGGAAAGAAACGUCAUGGGUUAAUACCCCGUGAAACUGACGGUACCUGCAGAAUAAGCACCGGCUAACUACGUGCCAGCAGCCGCGGUAAUACGUAGGGUGCAAGCGUUAAUCGGAAUUACUGGGCGUAAAGCGGGCGCAGGCGGUUCUGAAAGAAAGAUGUGAAAUCCCAGAGCUCAACUUUGGAACUGCAUUUUUAACUACCGGGCUAGAGUGUGUCAGAGGGAGGUGGAAUUCCGCGUGUAGCAGUGAAAUGCGUAGAUAUGCGGAGGAACACCGAUGGCGAAGGCAGCCUCCUGGGAUAACACUGACGCUCAUGCACGAAAGCGUGGGGAGCAAACAGG
This 429-nucleotide ribosomal RNA is filed under the name Acidobacteriota bacterium. RNAcentral describes it as "Acidobacteria bacterium partial 16S ribosomal RNA". It matches the Rfam family "Bacterial small subunit ribosomal RNA", at positions 355 to 776 of the family's 1533-position model. The record is from RNAcentral. Lineage: Bacteria; Pseudomonadati; Acidobacteriota.